Long non-coding RNA from Capra hircus (goat), 2412 nucleotides. RefSeq lists it as uncharacterized. NCBI's taxonomy places the organism in Eukaryota, Metazoa, Chordata, Mammalia, Artiodactyla, Bovidae. The transcript has 3 exons. The record is from RefSeq and is a predicted model, not a curated record.
GCUCCUGAGCUGCUCCUCUGGUUUUUCUGGGCUGGUGCGUGUGUGCGCACGCGCGCACGCGUCCAUGUGUGUCUCUCUGGGAGGCUCAGGGCAAAAGACUCUGGCUUCCCAGGGAGAGCAGGCUUUGGGGGGGCGCCCCCCGGAGCUGUUUUCAGAGCCCCGGCUCCUGUGUGACGUCAGCCGCCCAGCAGCCCGCCCUGUCCUGCUGCCCUUCAGCCUAUAGGGAGGAGAGGUUACUACAAGUCCAGGACCAGCUUGCUUUAGACACACCCAGUGCAAUGCCUGGUUCUGGACCUGGAGUUAAAAACUAAAGGUAGGUUCCAUAUUUUGGCCACAUUUUGCACAUGCGGUUAUUACAGCUUUCCGUGUCCUGAUGCCAAGUGCUCCCUCGUGGCUCCAGAAAUGCAGGUCCCCGCGGUCUCAGCGCCCUGCGGGCUGCAGGGCCGCACGGCCUCGAGCUGACCUGGCCGUGGGGCCGGUGGAGCUCUGGCGCCACCGCGCGGCGGACGCGGAGACUGCGGGCGGGAGUCGGUUGAGCCGGCUGGGGUUUCAGGCUGUUUGCCGGCCAGAGGCCUUCCAGGGCAUUCCGCGGGCAGUGGUCCAGGCAUCUUUGCAGCUGGGUCCUUACACCGACUCCGGCCCUUGAGGGAGAAGGGGCCGCUGAAUGUCGAGUGGCACUGGGGUCCGUCCUGUUGGGUCUGUCUCUGUAAAGUGUGCAGGAAACCCACGAGUGAGCCGGACGCCCUUCGCCCGCUGCGCUGGCCCAUCCGUCUCCAGACCCAGGAGCACCUGUGCGGGUGGCCGAGGCCAGCCAGACUCAAGCGUGAGCAGUAGCAAACGUGCAUGACAGAGGUGUUCGUGACCAUCUGAAAGGGUUCCUGUGAUCAUUGCAAGAGGCUCACCCUCACCUCUGAGUCCCUGAGUCCACCUUCCCUGGACACUGGCUCACAGCGCCACCAGAGACGCGCCUCCAGGUUGCUCUCAGCUCCGUCGGUCUCCUGGGAACGUUCGCUACCUGCUCCCGCAUCCACGGGCUUCGGGAGGAGGCUGCCAGACCACAGAGCUCUUGCCCUUCCGAAAGGAGAGAGAAAAUGGGGCUUUCCUGCCUUCCUCUGAUUUCAUGAAGAACCGACUCUGGACAGGUUUCGUCGGCGUGUUGACUCGUGUAGAAUUCAUGAUACACGUAUAGGGUUCAGCCGUAUUCAGUGCAGACGUUCAGCACUCCCUGCCUCAGCUCCGCCCUCCUGGGCUCACAGACCUGAGAGCUGCUGGGGGAGCGGGGGUCAGACGCAGCCCGCGAGAGACCCCGGCAGACCCCCCGGUGGACACGGUGUCCAGGGCACAGGCUGCAUGGCCGCAAGGAAGCUCGCGGCCGCCAGCCCUGCCCUGGCAGCACCGUCUUUACUGGCCUGAUGGUCGCCUCUGUGCCUGCACCUUGCUUUUCGCUUUCUUUUGAAGACAGUGACACAAAAGCAUUUAAAAAAUCGUAUCUACACACACACACACACACACACGCACACACAGACUUGGAUUCAGCCACACACACUUUGUGGCUCUCAGCGACUGAGCGGGGUCUGGGCACAGCAGGAAUGAAGAGCUGUCAAGUCGGGGGUCGUCCCCUUGUUCCUGUAGCUGGACCCUGGACCCCAGGAAUCAGCCUUUGCCAACUCUCCUCGGGAAGAGAGAAGCCCUCUGCUGCCUCGUCUGCCUCCCCCGGAGAAAGUGCGCGUCCUCUCUGCCGUGCCCACCUUUGCCUCUGGAGGGGCAGAAGCGUGUUUGGCAGGCGGGGAUACAGGGCUGGCAGGGGCACCUACCUGGGGCUUCCUCCCUGGAAGCAAGACUCGGAGGCCGGUUCCUCUGGACAAAGGCGCUGACAGGGCCCAGCACCCUUUGCUCUGGGGCUGAGGUGCACGCAGACACAGGGGGCCACAGGUGCCUCGAGCGCUGUCCACCUGGUGUGAGCAGCCCCGCCAGGCUUCCAGAACCCUCGCCUGAGGGGGAUCUCUCCUCCUGAGGCUGCCGAGUCUGGGGAAGCAGACCCUGAGCCCGUUUCUCUCCAGCUCCUAUGUGUGUUUGAUGAGCCGAGCAGAGAAGCCUUCUGAAUCACUUAUUUCCUCGCAAACCCUGGGCCCCGCUCUCAAAAUCGCCUAAGGAUCUUUUCAUCAGUUCAAAGGAAAAAUGUGCUAUUUCAGACUCGGAACGUGUCUCUUUAUAGCUGUAUGAUCGUCACGUCAUGGAAGAAGCAUUCGGCUCCUGAGAGUAGGGUGCCUGCCCAUAAAGGGCUUUUGGGGGUGACUUUCCACUGGAGGAGCCGGGCUGUAAACUUCUCUUUCUGGACUGAGUCUAGCAGCAUGUUGGUGUUUUUUUUUUUUUUUUCCACCAGAUUGAGCAAAAUUAACCUUGCAGGAGGAG